Spironucleus salmonicida is the source of this 84-nucleotide non-coding RNA. NCBI's taxonomy places the organism in Eukaryota, Fornicata, Diplomonadida, Hexamitidae. The record is from Rfam.
ACCAAUUUGGCCGAGUGGUUAAGGCGGGUGACUCAAGAUCUCCUGGGGGCUAACUCCGCGUGGGUUCAAAUCCCACAGUUGGUA